This 447-nucleotide ribosomal RNA is filed under the name Globigerina bulloides. RNAcentral describes it as "bacterial SSU rRNA". It matches the Rfam family "Eukaryotic small subunit ribosomal RNA", at positions 1164 to 1396 of the family's 1831-position model. Lineage: Eukaryota; Foraminifera; Rotaliida; Globigerinidae. The record is from RNAcentral.
GCACCACAAGAGCGUGGAGUAUGUGGCUUAAUUUGACUCAACGCGGAAAAGCUUAUCUGGUCCGGACACAGUGAGGAUUGACAGACAGUUAGACAGAAGUGAGGUUUUGGUAACAAUUGAGAGAGUUGAAGUUCUUUCAUGAUCUUGUGAGAGGUGGUGCAUGGCCGUUCUUAGUUCGUGUAGUGAUAUGUCUGCCUAAUCGCGUCACGAUAACCUAUUGGUCGACAACCCAAUUAUCACAACUGCAGCAUAACUCCCCUUGGGUGGGCGAGGCUCUGUGUAGGAUAGACCUCUGAACAGUACGCAACGAACGCGAUCGUAAUCCCUUGUUGAGUGGCCAUCCUGUAAGCUGCUGGAUUAGGAACCCAGUGGUAUUAUCUCAGCCACAGAUUUUCUGGUUGUAGUGGGCCAGUUUUGAAACUCGGGGAACAUCUGUGACUUUCUUUC